AUACAGAGGGUGCGAGCGUUAAUCGGAUUUACUGGGCGUAAAGCGUACGUAGGCGGCUUUUAAGUCGGAUGUGAAAUCCCUGAGCUUAACUUAGGAAUUGCAUUCGAUACUGGGAGCUAGAGUAUGGGAGAGGAUGGUAGAAUUCCAGGUGUAGCGGUGAAAUGCGUAGAGAUCUGGAGGAAUACCGAUGGCGAAGGCAGCCAUCUGGCCUAAUACUGACGCUGAGGUACGAAAGCAUGGGGAGC
This 245-nucleotide ribosomal RNA is filed under the name uncultured bacterium. Its description in RNAcentral is "partial 16S ribosomal RNA". It matches the Rfam family "Bacterial small subunit ribosomal RNA", at positions 523 to 769 of the family's 1533-position model. The record is from RNAcentral.